Molecule: ribosomal RNA, 425 nt
Filed under: uncultured bacterium
Lineage: Bacteria
Description: bacterial SSU rRNA
Rfam family: Bacterial small subunit ribosomal RNA
Source: RNAcentral
GGGGAAUUUUGGACAAUGGGCGAAAGCCUGAUCCAGCCAUGCCGCGUGAGUGAAGAAGGCCUUCGGGUUGUAAAGCUCUUUCAGUCGGAAAGAAACGAUUGUGACUAAUACUCACAAUUAAUGACGGUACCGACAGAAGAAGCACCGGCUAACUACGUGCCAGCAGCCGCGGUAAUACGUAGGGUGCGAGCGUUAAUCGGAAUUACUGGGCGUAAAGGGUGCGCAGGCGGUCUUGCAAGUCAGAUGUGAAAUCCCCGGGCUUAACCUGGGAAUUGCGUUUGAAACUGCAAGGCUAGAGUGCAGCAGAGGGGAGUGGAAUUCCACGUGUAGCAGUGAAAUGCGUAGAGAUGUGGAAGAACACCGAUGGCGAAGGCAGCUCCCUGGGCUGACACUGACGCUCAUGCACGAAAGCGUGGGGAGCAAAC